AAGAUUUUAAGUUAUGUAAACUAAAAACCUUCAAAGUUUUAAAAGGUGUAUACCAAAUCUUG
Molecule: transfer RNA, 62 nt
Filed under: Glossiphonia concolor
Lineage: Eukaryota; Metazoa; Annelida; Clitellata; Rhynchobdellida; Glossiphoniidae
Description: tRNA-Trp
Source: RNAcentral